UGGGUGCAGCAACCUUCGGGAGUUCCCAA
RNAcentral lists this non-coding RNA (29 nucleotides) under Homo sapiens (human). The record is from RNAcentral. Lineage: Eukaryota; Metazoa; Chordata; Mammalia; Primates; Hominidae.